UUUUCUCUUUUUUUUUUCUUCUCUUUUUUUCUGGCCUGCUUCUUUUGGGUCUGCUGGGCCGUUGGUCAGGCCUAGCCUGCUACUGUUGGGCUGGAGUACCUACUAGUGGGUUGCUGGUGCGGGUCGGGUCGUGUCGACCCAGCUGUAAAAAAUAAUUUUUUCUUUUUUUCUUUUUUCUUUUUUCUUUCCCCCUUUCUUUUUCCUUCUUCUUUUUCUUCUUCCUUUCUUUCUUCUUCUUCCUUGUUUGGCCCCCCACCGAUUUCUUUGCUGCUUUCGACGCUUCCUCUGCCUGUGGUGCGACGGUCGAUGAAGCUCCUCCCUUUUCUUUCUUUCUUUCUUCUUUGCUUGCUUUUUUUAUUUUCGUGGGUGUUUUUCUUUGAUGAUUUUUUUGCUUGAUUUGCUUUCUUUAACGGUGGUAGAUGGGAGUAUGCCGGUGGUGGCAGUUCGACGACGCACGGUGGCGAUGAGGCUGCUGUUUUUGCUUGAUUUCUUUUGUUUUUUCUUUUUUUUUCUUGGUUCUUCUUUUUUGGCUGCCCAUUUUGGGGGUUUUAAAACCCCUUUUAUUUUGAUUUUUCUUCUCCUUUUUUGCAGGUUGCAGGUGGCUAGGGAGGGGUAGGUCGGGUGCUGCUGUUGUAGGUACAAGUUGUGCUGGUUGCUGUCAGAAGGACCAAAAUGUAAAUGCAGUAAAAGUUUUGGGGCCAAAACC
This 706-nucleotide long non-coding RNA is filed under the name Gossypium raimondii (Peruvian cotton). Its description in RNAcentral is "long non-coding RNA (GRAI_LNC010783)". The record is from RNAcentral. Lineage: Eukaryota; Viridiplantae; Streptophyta; Magnoliopsida; Malvales; Malvaceae.